This 497-nucleotide ribosomal RNA is filed under the name uncultured bacterium. Its description in RNAcentral is "partial 16S ribosomal RNA". It matches the Rfam family "Bacterial small subunit ribosomal RNA", at positions 28 to 507 of the family's 1533-position model. The record is from RNAcentral.
GAUGAACGCUGGCGGCGUGCCUAAUACAUGCAAGUCGAGCGAACAGACGAGGAGCUUGCUCCUCUGACGUUAGCGGCGGACGGGUGAGUAACACGUGGAUAACCUACUUAUAAUACUGGGAUAACUUCGGGAAACCGGAGCUAAUACUGGAUAAUAUAUUGAACCGCAUGGUUCAAUAGUGAAAGACGGUUUUGCUGUCACUUAUAGAUGGAUCCGCGCCGCAUUAGCUAGUUGGUAAGGUAACGGCUUACCAAGGCAACGAUGCGUAGCCGACCUGAGAGGAUGAUCGGCCACACUGGAACUGAGACACGGUCCAGACUCCUACGGGAGGCAGCAGUGGGGAAUAUUGCGCAAUGGGCGCAAGCCUGAUCGAGCCACACCGCGUGAGUGAUGAAGGUCUUCGGAUUGUAAAGCUCUGUUAUUAGGGAAGAAAAACAGUAGAAGUAAAUCUGGACGUCCUGACGGUACCCAAACAGAAAGCACCGGCUAACUACGUG